Molecule: ribosomal RNA, 510 nt
Filed under: uncultured bacterium
Lineage: Bacteria
Description: partial 16S ribosomal RNA
Rfam family: Bacterial small subunit ribosomal RNA
Source: RNAcentral
GACGAACGCUGGCGGCGUGCUUAACACAUGCAAGUCGAACGAAGAGCGAUGGAAGCUUGCUUCUAUCAAUCUUAGUGGCGAACGGGUGAGUAACGCGUAAUCAACCUGCCCUUCAGAGGGGGACAACAGUUGGAAACGACUGCUAAUACCGCAUACGAUCUAAUCUCGGCAUCGAGGAUAGAUGAAAGGUGGCCUCUACAUGUAAGCUAUCACUGAAGGAGGGGAUUGCGUCUGAUUAGCUAGUUGGAGGGGUAACGGCCCACCAAGGCGAUGAUCAGUAGCCGGUCUGAGAGGAUGAACGGCCACAUUGGGACUGAGACACGGCCCAGACUCCUACGGGAGGCAGCAGUGGGGAAUCUUCCGCAAGGGACGAAAGUCUGACGGAGCAACGCCGCGUGAGGGAUGACGGCCUUCGGGUUGUAAAGCUCUGUUAAUCGGGACGAAAGGCCUUCUUGCGAAUAGUGAGAAGGAUUGACGGUACCGGAAGAGAAAGCCACGGCUAACUACGUG